AAUAGAUACCCAGGUAGUCCACGCCGUAAACGAUUAGUGCUAAGUGUUAGAGGGUUUCCGCCCUUUAGUGCUGCAGCUAACGCAUUAAGCACUCCGCCUGGGGAGUACGGCCGCAAGGCUGAAACUCAAAGGAAUUGACGGGGGCCCGCACAAGCGGUGGAGCAUGUGGUUUAAUUCGAAGCAACGCGAAGAACCUUACCAGGUCUUGACAUCCUCUGCCAACCCUAGAGAUAGGGCGUUCCCCUUCGGGGGACAGAGUGACAGGUGGUGCAUGGUUGUCGUCAGCUCGUGUCGUGAGAUGUUGGGUUAAGUCCCGCAACGAGCGCAACCCUUGAUCUUAGUUGCCCAGCAUUUAGUUGGGCACUCUAAGGUGACUGCCGGUGACAAACCGGAGGAAGGUGGGGAUGACGUCAAAUCAUCAUGCCCCUUAUGACCUGGGCUACACACGUGCUACAAUGGAUGGUACAAAGAGCUGCGAACCCGCGAGGGUGAGCGAAUCUCAUAAAGCCAUUCUCAGUUCGGAUUGUAGG
RNAcentral lists this ribosomal RNA (530 nucleotides) under uncultured bacterium. RNAcentral's name for it is "bacterial SSU rRNA". It matches the Rfam family "Bacterial small subunit ribosomal RNA", at positions 777 to 1304 of the family's 1533-position model. The record is from RNAcentral.